Molecule: ribosomal RNA, 402 nt
Filed under: uncultured bacterium
Lineage: Bacteria
Description: bacterial SSU rRNA
Rfam family: Bacterial small subunit ribosomal RNA
Source: RNAcentral
UGGGGAAUAUUGCACAAUGGGGGAAACCCUGAUGCAGCGACGCCGCGUGAGUGAAGAAGUAUUUCGGUAUGUAAAGCUCUAUCAGCAGGGAAGAAAAUGACGGUACCUGACUAAGAAGCCCCGGCUAACUACGUGCCAGCAGCCGCGGUAAUACGUAGGGGGCAAGCGUUAUCCGGAUUUACUGGGUGUAAAGGGAGCGUAGACGGCGAAGCAAGUCUGAAGUGAAAACCCAGGGCUCAACCCUGGGACUGCUUUGGAAACUGUUUUGCUAGAGUGCUGGAGAGGUAAGUGGAAUUCCUAGUGUAGCGGUGAAAUGCGUAGAUAUUAGGAGGAACACCAGUGGCGAAGGCGGCUUACUGGACAGUAACUGACGUUGAGGCUCGAAAGCGUGGGGAGCAAACA